This 428-nucleotide ribosomal RNA is filed under the name uncultured bacterium. Its description in RNAcentral is "bacterial SSU rRNA". It matches the Rfam family "Bacterial small subunit ribosomal RNA", at positions 355 to 775 of the family's 1533-position model. The record is from RNAcentral.
UGGGGAAUCUUGCGCAAUGCGCGAAAGCGUGACGCAGCAACGCCGCGUGGGGGAAGACGGCCUUCGGGUUGUAAACCCCUUUCAGGAGGGACGAAGGCCGGGCGGUGAAUAGCCGUUCCGGUUGACGGUACCUCCAGAAGAAGCCCCGGCUAACUACGUGCCAGCAGCCGCGGUAAUACGUAGGGGGCAAGCGUUGUCCGGAAUCAUUGGGCGUAAAGAGCGCGUAGGCGGUCCGGUAAGUCGGUUGUGAAAGUCAGGGGCUCAACCCCUGAAAGCCGGCCGAUACUGCCGGACUAGAGUCCGGAAGAGGCGAGUGGAAUUCCCGGUGUAGCGGUGAAAUGCGCAGAUAUCGGGAGGAACACCAAUUGCGAAGGCAGCUCGCUGGGACGGUACUGACGCUGAGGCGCGAAAGCGUGGGGAGCAAACAG